This 84-nucleotide transfer RNA is filed under the name Actinomycetota bacterium. Its description in RNAcentral is "Actinobacteria bacterium (aquatic metagenome) tRNA-Leu". It matches the Rfam family "tRNA". From Rfam's summary of the family: Transfer RNA (tRNA) molecules are approximately 80 nucleotides in length. Their secondary structure includes four short double-helical elements and three loops (D, anti-codon, and T loops). Lineage: Bacteria; Bacillati; Actinomycetota. The record is from RNAcentral.
GCCGGGAUGGUGAAAUUGGCAGACACGCUAGGUUCAGGGUCUAGUGCUCGCAAGAGCUUGCGGGUUCAAAUCCCGCUCCCGGCA